This 253-nucleotide ribosomal RNA is filed under the name uncultured bacterium. RNAcentral's name for it is "partial 16S ribosomal RNA". It matches the Rfam family "Bacterial small subunit ribosomal RNA", at positions 524 to 776 of the family's 1533-position model. The record is from RNAcentral.
GACGAACUGUGCAAACGUUAUUCGGAAUCACUGGGCUUAAAGGGCGCGUAGGCGGCACUGUUAGUCAGGCGUGAAAGUCCUGGGCUCAACCUGGGAACUGCGCUUGAUACGGCAGAGCUAGAGGAUGGAAGAGGCUCGCGGAAUUCCCAGUGUAGAGGUGAAAUUCGUAGAUAUUGGGAAGAACACCGGUGGCGAAGGCGGCGAGCUGGUCCAUUACUGACGCUGAGGCGCGACAGCGUGGGGAGCAAACAGG